Long non-coding RNA from Syngnathoides biaculeatus (alligator pipefish), 232 nucleotides. RefSeq lists it as uncharacterized. NCBI's taxonomy places the organism in Eukaryota, Metazoa, Chordata, Actinopteri, Syngnathiformes, Syngnathidae. The transcript has 3 exons. The record is from RefSeq and is a predicted model, not a curated record.
CGCAUCCUCCACAAUGGCAGCCCAUAAUGCCUAUCGACUAUGUGUCAUCUACGCACCGGGGAAGGUCACAGCGGGGUCGACACUUUCACCGACAGGAAAAUUCUGAAAGGAUUGGCAGCUCAGUCUGGGUUGUGAUGUCACCGAUACCGCGUCGUCGUCGUCAUCAUUCCCCUGUGGAGUAGAGCACACCUGUAAAGAGGUUUGAGUAUUCAGCCAUCCAUUUUCUUCACCG